UACGAAGGGGGCUAGCGUUGCUCGGAAUCACUGGGCGUAAAGCGCACGUAGGCGGGUCUUUAAGUCAGGGGUGAAAUCCUGCAGCUUAACUGCAGAACUGCCAUGGAUACUAUCUAUCUUGAAUGUCGUGGAGGUUAGCGGAAUAUGUCAUGUAGCGGUGAAAUGCUUAGAGAUGACAUAGAACACCCAUUGCGAAGGCAGCUAACUACGCGAUAAUUGACGCUGAUGCACGAAAGCGUGGGGAUCAAACAGG
Molecule: ribosomal RNA, 253 nt
Filed under: uncultured bacterium
Lineage: Bacteria
Description: partial 16S ribosomal RNA
Rfam family: Bacterial small subunit ribosomal RNA
Source: RNAcentral